Non-coding RNA from Pelodiscus sinensis (Chinese soft-shelled turtle), 1816 nucleotides. The record is from RefSeq and is a predicted model, not a curated record. NCBI's taxonomy places the organism in Eukaryota, Metazoa, Chordata, Testudines, Trionychidae.
CCCUGCCCUCACUCCGGACUGGCCGCAGUCUUCCCUUGCAAUUGCUUGAAAAAUAAACUGUCUCUGACUUGUUGCUUACUAAACACAGAGUGAAGACUUUGUUUUCUUCCACAGUUACCAAGAAGGGAGAUGCUUUGAUAAGUGAGUCGUCUUGACCGCAGACCCAGACUUGUGCAGACUUUUCCAACACAACACAGAAUCAUGAAAAUAUAGGGCAAGAAGACAUUUGAAGUGGUCAUCCAGUCCGCUCCCCUGCACUGAGAUGGAAAUAUAAACCCUGGGCAAACAGAUGGCUGAGGACUUCUCUGACAGAUUAAAUGCUCUGAGUAAUUUACCUCCUCAGUCAUCUAGUGCCAAGCCAGCAGCUGCUACUUUCUGACCGCCCAGCUCUUAAGGAUGUGCCAUCACCAGCAUCAGCACAGAAGUAUGGUAUGUCACUCUUACCCAUCCAUUGUUUUUGAUGGCAGUACUACCUUCAAAGAUAUCCCAACAGAAAGCAGUGAUGUUGAGCUUCCUUUCCUUUCUGUCCCAAUUGAGAUUUUAAACUCUGACAUGUAGGUCAUAAUGAACCAUAGCAACAACAGAUCAUUAAUCUUACUUAACAGUGGAUAUUCUUUCAAAACAUGUAUCAAACCUGUGCCAAAUUUAAUGACUUGUGGUGUACUUUCUUCGAGUGUGCUGUCAAAAGUGAGUUGCAGCAGCUUUUUCUUCUUCGGGCAUCAAGUUUAGCUCCAUUAUUGAUUCAGGAUUUUUGAAAGCUAAAGGAUCUUUCACCCAAAGCUUUUCCUUCAAAUUUUAAAACUGAUCUGUAGCAACUAAAAGGGUCAGGCAAAGCAGCAAGAUGUAACUUUGUGACACCUCCCAUUUCAUUCACUUUUUCUUCACUGAUGCUUUUCCCCUCAAUGUGUCAGAACAGUGUUGGGAAAACGUAGCUUGGAUGAUUACUUUUCAGUUGUGCUUACACAGCGCUAAUGAGUUUUGGAAUGCUUGUAUCUGUUCACUGUGUCGAAACAAAUCAGUGUCUCUUCUUUGUAACUUCAAAUUCAGUUUGUUUAAAAUUGAGAAAAUGUCACCUAGAUAUGACAAAUUUAUUAACCAUCAUCUUCAAACAAAUUUUCCAAAUUAGACUGUUUCUUGCCAGAAAAAUGUGAAUCUCAUUCCUGAAUUCAUACACCCUAGUAAGAAUCCUGCUCCAUUACAAUCACAGUACUUCACUGUGGAAUGAUUAUGCUCCACUUCAAAAAGCAUGCUGUUCAAUGAGCUUCCUUUAAUGAUAUUAAUAAUUUUUAUUCCUUCCUUCAGUUCUGUCAUAAGAUCAGGGUAAAUGAUUUCACAUCCAAGAGUUUCAUGGUGAGUGAAACAGUGAUUCCAAACAACAUAAUUACUGGUAGCCUGAGAUAUUUUUUCACACCUCCGCUAUUUCUACCUCUCAUAUUUGCUACACCAACACCUACAAUUCCUUUGUAAUUAGAUCAGUCUAAUUUGUGUUUUCCAAUACACAGUGCUUAAAUUAUCUGUGCUCCUGUUGUAUUUAUUUGUUAACUCAAACAGCCAUAAAUAUCCUACAUAACUUAACAGUGUUGCAUAAUUUGAACUGUCAGUACUCUUGUCAAAUUGAUAGCAAAAUCCCCAACUGACUGUAACCACAUAAAAGCUAGUCUUCCAAACGCUCUGUAAUGUCAUAUAUUCACCAAGAUAUUGUGUUAUACAGAGGGAUUUUUACACACACACACACAAAGGUAAACUGAAGGAAGUAAUGAAAAGUAUUAAUUUUGUUAAAGGUAAACAAGCCUUAUCCUAAAAAAGAUGAUUGCUU